RNAcentral lists this ribosomal RNA (468 nucleotides) under uncultured bacterium. Its description in RNAcentral is "partial 16S ribosomal RNA". It matches the Rfam family "Bacterial small subunit ribosomal RNA", at positions 28 to 507 of the family's 1533-position model. The record is from RNAcentral.
GAUGAACGCUGGCGGCGUGCUUAACACAUGCAAGUCGAACGGAAAGGCCAGUGCUUGCCCUGGUACUCGAGUGGCGAACGGGUGAGUAACACGUGGGUGAUCUGCCCUGCACUUCGGGAUAAGUCUGGGAAACUGGGUCUAAUACCGGAUAGGACAAUGGUUUGGAUGCUGUUGUGGAUAGUUUUUUCGGUGUGGGAUGAGCUCGCGGCGGAUCAGCUUGUUGGUGGGGUAAUGGCGUAUCAAAGCGUCGACGGGGAGCCGGCCGAAGAGGGGGUACGGCUACAUAGUGACAGUGAAACAGCGCAGACUCGUAUGCGGGGGGCGAGUGGGGGAUAUAGUACAAAAGGCGAGGGAGUGGUGCAGAGAGGCCGCGUGGGGGAUGAAGGCCUUCGGGUUGUAGACUCCGUUGGCUAGAGUAGAGAAGAAUUUGUGACGGUAACGGGAGAAGAAGCACCGGCUAACUACGUG